This 64-nucleotide transfer RNA is filed under the name Microctonus brassicae. The record is from RNAcentral. Lineage: Eukaryota; Metazoa; Arthropoda; Insecta; Hymenoptera; Braconidae.
UCUAUUAUGGCAGAUUAGUGUAAUGAAUUUAAGUUUCAUAAAUAAAAUUUAUUUUUUGAUAGAA